AGUGAACGCUGGCGGUAGGCCUAACACAUGCAAGUCGAACGGCAGCACAGGAGAGCUUGCUCUCUGGGUGGCGAGUGGCGGACGGGUGAGGAAUACAUCGGAAUCUACUCUGUCGUGGGGGAUAACUUAGGGAAACUUACGCUAAUACCGCAUACGACCUACGGGUGAAAGUAGGGGACUUUCGGGCCUUGCGCGAUUGAAUGCGCCGAGGUCGGAUUAGCUAGUUGGCGGGGUAAAGGCCCACCAAGGCGACGAUCCGUAGCUGGUCUGAGAGGGUGAUCAGCCACACUGGAACUGAGACACGGUCCAGACUCGUACGGGAGGCAGCAGUGGGGAAUAUUGGACAAUGGGCGCAAGCCUGAUCCAGCCAUACCGCGUGGGUGAAGAAGGCCUUCGGGUUGUAAAGCCCUUUUGUUGGGAAAGAAAUCCAGCUGGCUAAUACCCGGUUGGGAUGACGGUACCCAAAGAAUAAGCACCGGCUAACUUCGUGCCAGCAGCCGCCGUAA
This 506-nucleotide ribosomal RNA is filed under the name uncultured bacterium. RNAcentral's name for it is "partial 16S ribosomal RNA". It matches the Rfam family "Bacterial small subunit ribosomal RNA", at positions 29 to 523 of the family's 1533-position model. The record is from RNAcentral.